UGCCUAUUGAAAUUGCGUGCGAAAGAAAAAUGGUAAUCAUCUUGAUGAUUUUGGCUUUUCUUCGUUUUCUUCCUCAAACUGUUGACUUGCUGUGACUGCGGAGCAACGCACAGUAAACUGGAAUAAACCGGAUUGAACUAUUCCAUCUCCAAGUGUGUUGAUAGAAAUAUAUCCAGCAACCUGUCAGAAGUGUUACCAGAACAACUACAACAUUGGACCACAUGCACUGGAACCUUCUUAUUUCAGGACUACCAGUGGGGAAGGGCUGUAUUUAAUUGUUGCUGUCAAUUAUCUUGGUACCAGUCAUGACAACAUUUACCUACCUGCAGCAGAGGCCCUGCCGACUUAAACAAUCAUAGCUGUGCUCGGGCAAGCAAGAAGGUCGACAAGAUGUAUUCUACCGACAGGCAAAUUGUUGGCAGAUCGUUCCCAGUCCACUGAUGAGCGGAUAAGAUGAUGAUUUAAUCCCAAUAACGGAAAGAAAACUGGUGUCUUUCCUAGAACAUGAACAUUUUGAUCUUCAAGAAACUGCCACUCAUGUUUACUAUAUUUGAUGGAAGGAUCAGUGUUGUGAUAUGACUGUCUGAUAACAUAUUCAGUUGAUGUGACAUUUUCAAUAAUUUGACAUUCUAGGUUGAUUUGAUAUUCUCAAGUGGACAUGACAUUCUAUGUCGAUGUGAUAUUCUCAAGUGGACAUGACAUUCUAUGUCGAUGUGAUAUUCUCAAGUUGACGUGACAUUCUAUGUCGAUGUGAUAUUCUCAAGUUGACGUGACAUUCUAUGUCGAUGUGAUAUUCUCAAGUUGACGUGACAUUCUAUGUCGAUGUGAUAUUCUCAAGUUGACAUGACAUUCUAUGUCGAUGUGAUAUUCUCAAGUUGACAUGACAUUCUAGGUUGAUGUUAUAUCUGAAGUUAAUGUGAAAUGCUUAGUUUGAUUUGUAAAUAUACUUCCAAUGCUUUUGGACAUUCUUAUGGUGUAACAUUCAUGGAACUAAUAGGUGUAUGUGGCACUGUGACCAAUACCUUUCUUUAUGAUUUAGACCUUCAAAUACUACUGCCAUAACAUAUAGUGGAACAUAUAUCAAAAUUUAAAUAUGAGUGCAACAAGGGUUCAAAUAGGAUUUUUUUAAAUUUUCAGAGAGGGUUUUCUGUUUGUGUUUUUAAGGCAAAUUAUGAUAAACAAACAAAUUAAACAGUGAUGUAUUGUUAUACUUUUAUAUCUUUUGAUUUAUAUUGUACUAUUUCUAAAAGUAUUAAAUAAACUAUAUGAUUUAAGAACAAGUGUAUAAUUGCAAUAUACUUUGUUUAUCUCUAAUUUAAACUGGUUACAACUUAUAAACCAAUAUUGCAUAUCCUUCUAGACUUCUAUACUUUUCAAUUUCCAUUAAUAUUAACAAACUUACCGGUAUGAACUUUCAAGAACAGUCAAAAAAAAAAGUUUAUUCGUUUGUAAAAUUAUUUGUUACCUUUUUUCAUACAAAACAAUAACUGAAUCUGCUAUCAAUAAAGAAACCAGGCGCUGGUCUCUUUAUGAAACUUCAGUUUAACUCAGUUAUUGAAUUGCUGCAACUUGUUCACUAGUUAUCGCUCACUGACACUUAUUAAACUCUGACAGCUGCAUGACUUUAGUGAUUCACUGACUGAAAUUAUCAUGUUUUAUGUUUGUUUUUACAAACUAUUCCUAUUAUAAGACUAACAUUUAAAUAUCAUAAUAGAUCUAGCAUUUGAAAUAUCUCAAUUAUUACUUUGGUGUGCAUUAAACAGUGAUUGCCUUAUAAAGUUUGUUUGUAUCAUUUGAAUGUUUGUUGCUUAUAGAAGUUUAAUUGUUUUUGAUUAAAAUGUU
Long non-coding RNA from Mya arenaria, 1842 nucleotides. RefSeq lists it as uncharacterized. Lineage: Eukaryota; Metazoa; Mollusca; Bivalvia; Myida; Myidae. The transcript has 5 exons. The record is from RefSeq and is a predicted model, not a curated record.